UACCCUCCCACUCUCUCGCUCGCUUAGCUCAGCCACUCGCUCGCUGGCUCUCGAACCCCUAGCUCACCGCCACCGGCGCCUCUCCGUCGCACGCGUUGCCGGCGCCUCUACCCCGCACGCAGCGCCUCCGCCUCUCCCUCUCGCGUCGUCGCCGCCUUUCCAUGUUGCCAUACACCGUCGCCUCUCCCUCUUCAAGAUUUCAUUUUUACUCCAGCGGCUAGAUCUGAAGCGCGGCUGCUCCACCUUCCUCAGGGUUGCGGGGAUCUCCGGCGGCUGGAUCUGAAGCGCGGCUGCUCCACCUUCCUCAGGGUGGCGGGGAUCUCCGGCUCGCUGCGCAUGGGAAGGGCCCGACCGCCGGCGGCCGCUGCGGGCAGAAUGGGAACUGCGUCGGCGACGUCGUCGGCGUCCCAGGGACAGGGCACGGCGGCACGCACUGCGGGACAGGGCACGGCGGCACGCACUGCGUGACAGGGCACGGCGACACGCACUGCCGUUGCCGCCGUCCGCCAGCGCGCCGCUGGCUGACAGGAGCAGCCACAACCACGAGGCCACGACGAGCAGGACUGUUGGCGACGGGUUGGUGCAGUCCCGCGAGGACCGCGCCGUGUGGGAUGCCGAGAUGACGUUGCCGGAGAAGGAGUCUCCGACUACCUCACGCCCACCGCUGGCCUGCACAUCAGGUCGCCGAGCCCGUACGCCGGUGUGAGCAGCCUGGGUUGCCGGGUGCUCGCCGUCCGGCAGCACACCACGGUGCGACACGGGGUGGUGGAGGCCGAGGCUCACCUAGGUCGAACCAUAUGGUGGCAGUAGGAGGGGACAGAGCACCGUGUGGUGUGAGCGCCGAUUGAAAAUCACCAGCGAGUCCUACUUCAACUACGAUGCAAUGUGGAGUGAAGUUGAGGUCUGGGAGAUCCAUUUUCUCCUGAAGAUAUGAAUAUGUAAGAUGAAGUAGAAGUACAAGUAGAAGCACAAGGUAAUCUAUCUUAUGUUAGUUAACUUGCACCCAAAUGUAAAACGUACAUGACUAUAUUAAAGAAAUAAUUGAACAUCAUUGUAUAAUGUACUUCAUGUCAUGACUAUAACCAUACAUGACUAUAUCAAACAGUUCACAGUUGAUUUGACUUCAGUGGAGACCAAUAUGGUUAGUCUGUUGUUCCAUCUAUCUACUGAGCUUGAUGUUUUCAGAUUAAAUAUCAUGUUUGUGACCUCCGGCCAUGUAUUCCCUUCGCUAGGUAUUUUUUGAUAUGGCGGAUCCACGUAUAACACCUGGCAAACUAUGCCAAGCCCUGGAAACUGUUCAGGCAAUAUUGGUAAUUUUGUUUAUGCUCAGCUUGGUCGAUGCCGUUUAAAUACUCAGCUUGGUCGAUGUCGUUCAAAGUUGAAACGGCUGUUUGUGUGACGGCAGCGCCGCUAGAGUGGCCUGUGGGUCUCUGCUGAUUUCUGGAACUGCGGUGUGGACAGUGGAUUGCACUAUACAUGCAGUGCUCUUGGCUGGGCAUUUGUUUUCACAUCGUGCUGGCUUAGAUCAGUUACUGAUGAACUAACAUGAUGUAUGGAUGCAGAUUAUUAAUGCUGCUAUUUUUGGCUUUUUGCAGUGAACAGUCGAUGCAGGGUAGAACUGCUUAAUGAUACACAUGAGUCUGAUUUUCAGGUGGCCAAAUACACACGAGUCUAAACAAGACAUGGGUCUGCUUUCCUCUUAAGCAGAUAUGAUCAUCAAGCUGUUUCCAGUGACAGCAGCGGAGCCUGGGGAGAGGAGAUGAACCUGGGCCUGGGGUGAGGACAGCCUGGGAUGAGGAGAGCCUGGGCAGCAGCCGAGCCUAGCUCCAGCUCGCCUCAACCUGGGCGGACUUGGAGAGGAGGAGUCCCUGGAGAUGGAGAGGAGUCCCUGGGCAUGGAGAGGAGGAGCGCCUGGGCGCCUGCGUUGGUCUGGAUGGAGGUGGAGCUAUGGCGCCUGGAGGUCUGGGGUGGAGCGCCGGCGAGGGAGCUUCUGAUCGCAGCGGGGAAGGGCGAUCAAAGAGGGGAUCUGGCUCUCGAUUGGAGCGGCGCAGGCAGCCGGCGGGGAAGGACGCCGGAGAUGCGGACGACGGAGGAGCCUGGCGAAGGGGGGGGAGGGACGGAGUCCUCCUCCGCCUGGCGAAGGGGAGGAGCGACGGAGUCCUGGCGGAGGGAAGGAGCGAUGGAGAAAGACGACGACCUGAGCGCGAUUUCAAUUCGGGGGCAGUUUUGUAAUUUCACUACUUUUCACCUGGUCGGAAAAGACCCCCCAGCGACAAUUAUUUCGGAACGGAGGGAGUAUUUCCUUAUAUCAUGAUAAAUGUUUAUUAUUCAUGCUAGAAUUGUAUUAACCGGAAACUUGAUACAUGUGUGGAUACAUAGACAAAACACAGUGUCCCUAGUAAACCUCUACUAGACUAGCUCGUUAAUCAAAG
RNAcentral lists this ribosomal RNA (2432 nucleotides) under Triticum aestivum (bread wheat). RNAcentral describes it as "partial small subunit ribosomal RNA". The record is from RNAcentral. Lineage: Eukaryota; Viridiplantae; Streptophyta; Magnoliopsida; Poales; Poaceae.